Molecule: ribosomal RNA, 2923 nt
Filed under: Klebsiella pneumoniae subsp. pneumoniae
Lineage: Bacteria; Pseudomonadati; Pseudomonadota; Gammaproteobacteria; Enterobacterales; Enterobacteriaceae
Description: bacterial LSU rRNA
Rfam family: Bacterial large subunit ribosomal RNA
Source: RNAcentral
GGGUUGUGAGGUUAAGCGACUAAGCGUACACGGUGGAUGCCCUGGCAGUCAGAGGCGAUGAAGGACGUGCUAAUCUGCGAAAAGCGUCGGUAAGGUGAUAUGAACCGUUAUAGCCGGCGAUGUCCGAAUGGGGAAACCCAGUGUGAUUCGUCACACUAUCGUUAACUGAAUACAUAGGUUAACGAGGCGAACCGGGGGAACUGAAACAUCUAAGUACCCCGAGGAAAAGAAAUCAACCGAGAUUCCCCCAGUAGCGGCGAGCGAACGGGGAGCAGCCCAGAGUCUGAAUCAGCUUGUGUGUUAGUGGAACGGUCUGGAAAGUCCGACGGUACAGGGUGAUAGUCCCGUACACCAAAAUGCACAGGCUGUGAACUCGAAGAGUAGGGCGGGACACGUGGUAUCCUGUCUGAAUAUGGGGGGACCAUCCUCCAAGGCUAAAUACUCCUGACUGACCGAUAGUGAACCAGUACCGUGAGGGAAAGGCGAAAAGAACCCCGGCGAGGGGAGUGAAAAAGAACCUGAAACCGUGUACGUACAAGCAGUGGGAGCACCUUCGGGUGUGACUGCGUACCUUUUGUAUAAUGGGUCAGCGACUUAUAUUCUGUAGCAAGGUUAACCGUAUAGGGGAGCCGCAGGGAAACCGAGUCUUAACUGGGCGUUAAGUUGCAGGGUAUAGACCCGAAACCCGGUGAUCUAGCCAUGGGCAGGUUGAAGGUUGGGUAACACUAACUGGAGGACCGAACCGACUAAUGUUGAAAAAUUAGCGGAUGACUUGUGGCUGGGGGUGAAAGGCCAAUCAAACCGGGAGAUAGCUGGUUCUCCCCGAAAGCUAUUUAGGUAGCGCCUCGUGAAUUCAUCUUCGGGGGUAGAGCACUGUUUCGGCUAGGGGGUCAUCCCGACUUACCAACCCGAUGCAAACUACGAAUACCGAAGAAUGUUAUCACGGGAGACACACGGCGGGUGCUAACGUCCGUCGUGAAGAGGGAAACAACCCAGACCGCCAGCUAAGGUCCCAAAGUCAUGGUUAAGUGGGAAACGAUGUGGGAAGGCACAGACAGCCAGGAUGUUGGCUUAGAAGCAGCCAUCAUUUAAAGAAAGCGUAAUAGCUCACUGGUCGAGUCGGCCUGCGCGGAAGAUGUAACGGGGCUAAACCAUGCACCGAAGCUGCGGCAGCGACACUAUGUGUUGUUGGGUAGGGGAGCGUUCUGUAAGCCUGCGAAGGUGUGCUGUGAGGCAUGCUGGAGGUAUCAGAAGUGCGAAUGCUGACAUAAGUAACGAUAAAGCGGGUGAAAAGCCCGCUCGCCGGAAGACCAAGGGUUCCUGUCCAACGUUAAUCGGGGCAGGGUGAGUCGACCCCUAAGGCGAGGCCGAAAGGCGUAGUCGAUGGGAAACAGGUUAAUAUUCCUGUACUUGGUGUUACUGCGAAGGGGGGACGGAGAAGGCUAUGUUAGCCGGGCGACGGUUGUCCCGGUUUAAGCAUGUAGGCUGAUUGUCCAGGCAAAUCCGGAUAAUCAAGGCUGAGGUGUGAUGACGAGGCACUACGGUGCUGAAGUAACAAAUGCCCUGCUUCCAGGAAAAGCCUCUAAGCAUCAGGUAACAUCAAAUCGUACCCCAAACCGACACAGGUGGUCAGGUAGAGAAUACCAAGGCGCUUGAGAGAACUCGGGUGAAGGAACUAGGCAAAAUGGUGCCGUAACUUCGGGAGAAGGCACGCUGGUGUGUAGGUGAAGUCCCUGCGGAUGGAGCUGAGACCAGUCGAAGAUACCAGCUGGCUGCAACUGUUUAUUAAAAACACAGCACUGUGCAAACACGAAAGUGGACGUAUACGGUGUGACGCCUGCCCGGUGCCGGAAGGUUAAUUGAUGGGGUUAUCCGUAAGGAGAAGCUCUUGAUCGAAGCCCCGGUAAACGGCGGCCGUAACUAUAACGGUCCUAAGGUAGCGAAAUUCCUUGUCGGGUAAGUUCCGACCUGCACGAAUGGCGUAAUGAUGGCCAGGCUGUCUCCACCCGAGACUCAGUGAAAUUGAACUCGCUGUGAAGAUGCAGUGUACCCGCGGCAAGACGGAAAGACCCCGUGAACCUUUACUAUAGCUUGACACUGAACAUUGAGCCUUGAUGUGUAGGAUAGGUGGGAGGCUUUGAAGCGUGGACGCCAGUCUGCGUGGAGCCAACCUUGAAAUACCACCCUUUAAUGUUUGAUGUUCUAACGUUGGCCCCUGACCGGGGUUGCGGACAGUGUCUGGUGGGUAGUUUGACUGGGGCGGUCUCCUCCCAAAGCGUAACGGAGGAGCACGAAGGUUAGCUAAUCCUGGUCGGACAUCAGGAGGUUAGUGCAAUGGCAUAAGCUAGCUUGACUGCGAGCGUGACGGCGCGAGCAGGUGCGAAAGCAGGUCAUAGUGAUCCGGUGGUUCUGAAUGGAAGGGCCAUCGCUCAACGGAUAAAAGGUACUCCGGGGAUAACAGGCUGAUACCGCCCAAGAGUUCAUAUCGACGGCGGUGUUUGGCACCUCGAUGUCGGCUCAUCACAUCCUGGGGCUGAAGUAGGUCCCAAGGGUAUGGCUGUUCGCCAUUUAAAGUGGUACGCGAGCUGGGUUUAGAACGUCGUGAGACAGUUCGGUCCCUAUCUGCCGUGGGCGCUGGAGAAUUGAGGGGGGCUGCUCCUAGUACGAGAGGACCGGAGUGGACGCAUCACUGGUGUUCGGGUUGUCAUGCCAAUGGCACUGCCCGGUAGCUAAAUGCGGAAGAGAUAAGUGCUGAAAGCAUCUAAGCACGAAACUUGCCCCGAGAUGAGUUCUCCCUGAGACUUUAAGUCUCCUGAAGGAACGUUGAAGACGACGACGUUGAUAGGCCGGGUGUGUAAGCGCAGCGAUGCGUUGAGCUAACCGGUACUAAUGAACCGUGAGGCUUAACCUUACAACGCCGAAG